AUUGAACGCUGGCGGCAGGCUUAACACAUGCAAGUCGAGCGGGGAAAGGUAGCUUGCUACCUGACCUAGCGCGGACGGGUGAGUAAUGCUUAGGAAUCUGCCUAUUAGUGGGGGACGACAUUCCGAAAGGAAUGCUAAUACCGCAUACGCCCUACGGGGGGGGGAAAGCAGGGGAUCUUCGGACCUUGCGCUAAUAGAUGAGCCUAAGUCAGAUUAGCUAGUUGGUGGGUAAAGGCCUACCAAGGCGACGAUCUGCAGCGGGUCUGAGAGGAUGAUCCGCCACACUGGGACUGAGACACGGCCCAGACUCCUACGGGAGGCAGCAGUGGGGAAUAUUGGACAAUGGGCGAAAGCCUGAUCCAGCCAUGCCGCGUGUGUGAAGAAGGCCUUUUGGUUGUAAAGCACUUUAAGCGAGGAGGAGGCUACUUAGAUUAAUACUCUAGGAUAGUGGACGUUACUCGCAGAAUAAGCACCGGCUAACUCUGUG
RNAcentral lists this ribosomal RNA (487 nucleotides) under uncultured bacterium. RNAcentral's name for it is "bacterial SSU rRNA". It matches the Rfam family "Bacterial small subunit ribosomal RNA", at positions 30 to 507 of the family's 1533-position model. The record is from RNAcentral.